This 1804-nucleotide long non-coding RNA is filed under the name Sus scrofa (pig). Its description in RNAcentral is "lncRNA (ENSSSCG00060045897.1)". Lineage: Eukaryota; Metazoa; Chordata; Mammalia; Artiodactyla; Suidae. The record is from RNAcentral.
GGUAUUUACAUCUAUAUGCAUAUCUAGCAUAUAUAUGAGACUCAGACAACAUGUAUUAUCGGGGCCUUACCCUCAGCACAUAAAAGUUCCCAGUCUAGGGGUCGAAUUGGAGCUGCAGCAGCCGGCCUACACCACAGCCACAGCAACGUAGGAUCCAAGCUGCAUCUGCGACCUGCACCACAGCUCAUGGCAAUGCCGGAUCCUUAACCCACUGAGUGAGACACACCUGAAUUCCAGUGUGACCAUGGCAAGUGUAUUUCAGAACAGAAAGGGGGGUCCUUUGGCCAGAGCACACCCGGCUUUCCAGGAAGUCCCUGGAGUAGCCACACCUAGACAGGCAAGCAACAAACUCAGUAAAGAAAAAAAAAAAAGGUGGCCACACACCACCCUGCUGCAGGGCCAGCCCCUCACGAGGCGACAGGAGCUGAGUUCGGCGCUGUCACCGGCACCCGUGCUGACUCGGACAGGGAGCCCCUGAGAUCACACCUGGGCCCCACAGGACGCCGAGCGCAUCGCCAGCUCGCACUCAGGUGACGGGGAAGCAUGCUGCCUUGGCAGGCAGGACCCUGUGAACAGAAGUUUGCUGACUCUUGAGAUGGUCCAGCCAAGUCACUGAGUAUCCUCGAACUCUCUAGUCCAUGCUGAGGCAAAGCACUCCACAGUUCUUCAACUCUGGCGCUCUGGAAGAGUAUUCUUUCUAUGGCUGGUGGCCAGUCCCUCCUCUAGGCAUGCUGUCUUCCUCUGCCUCCCAGAGAAGCUCAAGCGGUGCACCAGAGCUUCAGAUAUGGUCUGCUCAAGCACGCAGGAGUCAUUGUCUCCUGGGGAAGCUCACACAGUGCACCAGAGCUUCAGCCCCAGCCAAACCUGAUCGUGAAGCAGCUUCUGGCCCGCAGGUCGCUGUGCUCCCUCUUCUCGUCUCUUGGCUGGAAGCGCAGAUUUGGGUUCUGUUCCUGACUCAGUCCAAGUGCCAGGUUGGUCAACAAGAGGAAGGGUCCUUACUGGGGACUAAAGGCCAGUGUACACAGACACCUACCUCCGUUACUUCUCACCUCCACAGCCACCCUGCGCGGCAGACACCACAUCCUGCAUCUUACAGGUGAUGGAGUCAAGGCUCAGUUCACUAGCUUUCCUAGCGCCAGAGAGUAACACGCCCAGGGUUUAGCCCAAAUGAUUUUGAAGCUGUAGCAGAGGAGGUAGGGCCCCCUGGACCUCUGCAGCCUGGUGCUCACCCUUCCGUGUGCUGCCCGGAGCUGGUUAGUUGGCAUGAAAUGGCUUAGCCUCAGGACUGAGGCUUUCAUGUCACACAUGCCAGGGAGCCAGUGCAGCCUUUGUGGUGACAAAUGUGGGAGAUCCUUGGGCCCAACACCUCUUCACGAAGUGCCUUCUGGGCCUCUUAGGCCAAAAGCCAGAACCAGGAUGGAGUGACAGAAGCCUCCGAAUAGGUCCAGGGGAGCUGGAAUAAACCUUUCAAGAUGAAAAGUCCUGAGUGCAUCAUUUAUAAUUACACCUGUUUCCUUUGCUCAGUUCUAACAGUCAACCUAUUGACGAGGAAUUUUGCCGUCUUCCUCCUCCUCGUCAUCAUGCUAUCAGGAUCUGCUCCUCCCUGUCCACUCCCCCAAAGGGUUCUCAUGACAGUUGGUUUCACCCCACCACUCAGAGGAGGAGGUGUAUUUCAAUGAGCUCCCCGCUUCCCCUUCUCCCCACACCCUGCCACCACCUUCAUGAAUUUUGCUGAAAUCCUAUUUCUGGGGGACAGAGAUGAAUGCUGUGUAGUUAUCUGAUUAAACUGCCUCUUGUUUAAAUC